CAGCCGCCACGGUAAUACAGAGGGUGCGAGCGUUAAUCGGAUUUACUGGGCGUAAAGCGUGCGUAGGCGGCUUCUUAAGUCGGAUGUGAAAUCCCUGAGCUUAACUUAGGAAUUGCAUUCGAUACUGGGAAGCUAGAGUAUGGGAGAGGAUGGUAGAAUUCCAGGUGUAGCGGUGAAAUGCGUAGAGAUCUGGAGGAAUACCGAUGGCGAAGGCAGCCAUCUGGCCUAAUACUGACGCUGAGGUACGAAAGCAUGGGGAGCAAACAGGAUUAGAGACCCCGGUAGUCCCUGUCUCUUAUAC
RNAcentral lists this ribosomal RNA (301 nucleotides) under uncultured bacterium. RNAcentral describes it as "partial 16S ribosomal RNA". It matches the Rfam family "Bacterial small subunit ribosomal RNA", at positions 509 to 807 of the family's 1533-position model. The record is from RNAcentral.